CCCUUUACCUGGACAGAAAGCUCUCUUAAAGAGACAGCGGCCGCACUUAGCGGCUCUGUCGACGGGGAGUCGUGGCUUAGCCCGGGAGAGCAUUGACGACGCGUUUGUAUGACUCCCGCGACUUCCUCUUAUUCUAGGCUGAGUUGUUUUUUAACAAGCCGACCGGCAAGGCCUUGAAGUCACACCGUGACCAGUUACAACUCUUGCAGCAUCCCCAUGGCCACCUGAUCAAAAUUCAGAUGCUUGACCACGGAUUGAUGUUGAUGAGGGUUGCAGUGUCCCGGGUUCAUGUGAUUCCCUUUUGUGAUCUUACGACAAGCAAAGGCGAUGGGGAAGCCAGAUUCAUUUAAUAACCAUGUACUAACUUAAAUGCAGUGAUUAACUUAACAAGUGUGGCAAGAAAGGUCGUAAAAUGAGGCAAAAUUCACUUCACAAAUGUCUCACUUAGCAGUGGAAAUUUUGGGCUCGGUUAUGGCCGUAAGUCGAGGACUAUCUGUAGCGUAUCUGCUCUUCAGCUGAAAGAUAUCAUGAGAGGGGAAAGAAGCAGCCAUCUAGAAAAGGAAGAGUGAAUCAUGAUAUAUAAAUGUACAUACUAAAAUCAUCUGGGUACAUACUAAAAUCAUCAAAUAGGGGUGAGUAGCAAAACUGUAUAUGAUUUAAGUAUACAAAAACUAUACAUACAUCAGAUACAUUAUAUAAAAUUGGACCGUGGGUAAUUGUGUAUAGGAAAAUAUUUUUUAAAAGAGGGAGAAAGGGACACCAGCCCAUUAACCUUUCCCCACCCCCAGGAGUCUAAAACUGAAUCCUGUCCCGGAAUUUCUCCUUGCUUAAAAGAAGUGGGGAGCCUGCAGCCAGAUAGGAGUCAUCAUGAGAUGGAAUACUGAACUUGCAAGAUAUCUUACUUCCCCUCCACCUCCAAAAAAAAGUUACAUUAAAUUUGAUCUUAUGAAACCUCUGAAUCCCACUCAGAAUUCUACAAUCAUUGGUAGAGAAGUUUCUCCUAUAAGGAAACAGAACAAUCUUUAUUUGAAAACCUCCAGAGAUGGAGCACCCAGAACUCCAGGAAGCAAUCUAUUCCAUUGUUUAAUUGUUCUCACUGUCAGGAAAUUUCUCCUUACUUCUAGGUAGGAUCUCUCCUUGACAAACUUUUACCCCUUACUUCUUGUUCUGCCUCUGGUGCUUUGGAGAAUAAGUCAAUCACCUCUCCGCUGUGACACUGCAACAAUGAAUGAGGACCCCAACAGCCAUUCUCACCAGUGGAAAAGUUAUGGGAGACCCAUAAGCCGGAUUUCAGUGUUCAGGGUAUCAAACAGUAUCCAACGAAAUUCUUGAUGACAUGCUACACUAAGCACCCCACUUAAUUUGUAAGAGCACAGUUGCUACCAUCUUACCACCAGCUUUUUAACUGACACAGCUGUUUAAUUAAAGUCCACCAUUUUUUGGUUUCUACUUCAAUCAAA
Pantherophis guttatus is the source of this 1460-nucleotide non-coding RNA. Lineage: Eukaryota; Metazoa; Chordata; Lepidosauria; Squamata; Colubridae. The record is from RefSeq and is a predicted model, not a curated record.